CACAAAUCUGAUUGCUCCUGUUCCACAUGAUUAGCACGUUUUGGGGUGACAUUGUUAGGUCUUCAGACUUGGAAUGAGACUUACACCAGCAGCCCCAUCCCACCCCCAACCCCCUUUCUUGAGCUUUUGACCUUCGACUCAAUGGCACCGCCAGCUUUCCUGCUUCUCCAAAAGGCAUAUAGACAGAUUGUGGGAUUUCUCAACCACCAUAAUCAUAUCUGCAAGAAACAUAUGUACCAGCUGAAUGCCGCUGAAGAAAAUCGUUAUAGGAUUAGCAGUUUUCUGACCCACUUACUAAAAAAAAGCCGAAUCGCUCAAUUGAGACCCCAGGGAAAUGCAGAUUUAUACCUUUGACGUAUUACUUGGUUUUUCUUCAAUUAACUUAAAUUCUGUAACCAGUUUUUAAGUCCUUGCCAUCUUCUUUUCUUUU
Bos taurus (domestic cattle) is the source of this 430-nucleotide long non-coding RNA. The record is from Ensembl. NCBI's taxonomy places the organism in Eukaryota, Metazoa, Chordata, Mammalia, Artiodactyla, Bovidae.